CCUUAGAUUACUAUCAACAAGGCUUCGAAGAACACAAAAGAAAAGAAAAGGCUUUGAUCAUCAGAGGGAGCUGAAGCUGGAGAGCUCAUUAACCUUUCUUUCUUUGUUUCCUUUUAUGUCCAUGAAUGGAAAUAGGGCGUUCCAACCCUCACCAUCGGGCUGAAUCAAACAACAUAAAAAUGGAGGGGAAGAAUAAGUUCAAAAUAUAUCCAAGGGGACUAGAUAUUACGUGGGGCAACGACAAUCGUUAUUGGAUGUUAUCAGACAUGGAGGCGGAAGACAGUUUUGCAGAACUAAAACAAGUAAAUUGGCUAGAAGUAACUGGUUCAACACCGAAAAAUCUAAAGAUUGGGGCUUGGUUCAAAGUGAGUUUCAAUGUGACACUAAGACCCAAUGCUUUUGGAUGGGAUGAGUGUAAUGUUUACAUAAUGGCUAAGAUUGGGAAAAAGGGGCAUUACAGUUUCAAGAAGCUGAAUCUUAAUGUUAAACAACCAGAAGGAAGAUUUAACAUUCCCCAUAAUGAAUUAAAAAUUAAAGUUGCCAAGCCCAAAAACGGAUCCGAAGAGGAUCUCAAGCUCUACUUUGGUAUGUAUGAAGUUUGGAGCAACAGAUGGAAAGGAGGGUUGAGGAUCUAUCAUGCACUAGUUGAGGAGUGCGAGGCACCAAAAGAGAAAAAAUUAUGAUGAUCGUGUCUAUAACAAUUGCUAUCGACUCGACGUGUGGUUUCAAGAACAUGAGAAUAAUAGGAGAAUAAUGUACUUAUGUAUCCACUAGUAUUAUGGUGAUACUAAAUUUUUAAUGUAUUUCGUGGAUUUUAUUUGUUUUAGAAGAAUAUGCACCAAAAAUAUGUAUUGUAUUUGUUGAUAUGUUGGGAAAUUUCCAUAUUGAGUAUGUUUGGCUAUCUCUAGAAAUCUUUCAACUUGGAGAAGUUGGAUA
Molecule: RNA transcript, 936 nt
Organism: Cucurbita maxima (winter squash)
Lineage: Eukaryota; Viridiplantae; Streptophyta; Magnoliopsida; Cucurbitales; Cucurbitaceae
Gene name: protein PHLOEM PROTEIN 2-LIKE A9-like
Exons: 4
Source: RefSeq, a predicted model, not a curated record